Molecule: ribosomal RNA, 408 nt
Filed under: bacterium enrichment culture clone ALO1_GLFRUDD03GE9MD
Lineage: Bacteria
Description: bacterial SSU rRNA
Rfam family: Bacterial small subunit ribosomal RNA
Source: RNAcentral
GAGUUUGAUCUUGGCUCAGAUUGAACGCUGGCGGCAUGCCUUACACAUGCAAGUCGAACGGCAGCACGGGAGCUUGCUCCUGGUAGCGAGUGGCGAACGGGUGAGUAAUGCAUCGGAACGUAUCCUGGAGUGGGGGGAUAACGUAGCGAAAGUUACGCUAAUACCGCAUAUUCUGUGAGCAGGAAAGCGGGGGACCUUCGGGCCUCGCGCUCUUGGAGCGGCCGAUGUCGGAUUAGCUAGUUGGUGAGGUAAAGGCUCACCAAGGCGACGAUCCGUAGCAGGUCUGAGAGGAUGAUCUGCCACACUGGAACUGAGACACGGUCCAGACUCCUACGGGAGGCAGCAGUGGGGAAUUUUGGACAAUGGGGGCAACCCUGAUCCAGCCAUGCCGCGUGAGUGAAGAAGGCC